AUGCAGUUCCCGUUGCCUUUAGCAUUAAGCAAUUCCACUUCCGUGGACUGGUCGAUCGAUGUCGAUGCUCGCCUGCUUCUUCUCAGCUCCGAUAAGGCGAUAACUCCUCCUAACCUGCUCCGAUGGCGACCGCAGCGGCGAUGCGUGCUUAGGCUCAACCUAAGCAGAUCAUCGCACAAAUCGUUGGCAUUAUAUAUGCAAGCACACGGGCGUCCAGUCCAGGUCGAGCUACAGCUUUCCAUGGAGGCAAGAGUAAAACCACCCCAAGGCACACGACAUCAAAGAGGGCCAGCUCCAGGUCGGGUCGGCGGUGGCCACCAUCAUCUUGCUUCUCCACCACUUUCCGCCCAUACCUCGCCGGCCACCUGCACCUGGGGACAUCAAGGAAGGUGA
This 393-nucleotide ribosomal RNA is filed under the name Triticum aestivum (bread wheat). RNAcentral's name for it is "partial small subunit ribosomal RNA". The record is from RNAcentral. Lineage: Eukaryota; Viridiplantae; Streptophyta; Magnoliopsida; Poales; Poaceae.